GUGAAUCACAUUAAGAUUAUGGCAUUAAUAUACCUGUGGUCCUAACAAAAAAUGUGUCAUAUCAUAUCUAUUUGUAGGACCUUCAAUAUUUGAUUUGCAAUUUUCCAAUCUAAGAAUGUGAAGAAAACUCAUAAUUAAGCAGCAAGUGCAAGGAUUUUGCAUCUUCAACGUCUUUAACUUCUCCACCUAUCAUUCCAGUGGCACCAGGGAAUGAUGGUAAUGUUAUGAAAGGUGAAGGUCCAUUAGUUUUGGUAAACCACUGCAAGUCCCUAAUAAGUAUCUGCAUCCAAUUGUCCUAUAUUGAAAUUCAAUUAAGACAUUUGCUUCAAAACAAAGGGAGCAUAUAUCAAUUUGUUAAGUUGCAAAUUAUUUAUUGGAAUCCUAAAGACCACAAAAGUUCCCUGAGUAUUAAGUUUCAUUCUUGUCCUUUACGUAUUAUUAGAUUUUUUAUUACUACGUGUUGUUUCUUUAGCCUCGACUAUUGUACUAUCUUAUUGUAGUUCUUUGCUUGUUGCUAAUGCUUUCUUUUAUAUCUUUUUUUUGAGCUGAGGGUCUACCAGAAACCACCUCGCUACCUUCUUAAGGUAGGGGGUAAAGUUUGCGUACACUCUACCUCCCUAGACCGCAGUUGUGGAAUUACACUGGGUUUGUUGUUGUUGUACAGAGCACAAAAGAAAGAGCUUGAAGGCUGUGGCCUUGAUAUAGAUGCAGACAUUCUAAUUCAAAAGAUCACUCUACAAUUUUCAGUAUGGCUAAUCAUGUCUGAAAAUUUGUGGUGAAUACACCUUGACAGCAUCUGAUCAAUGUCAAGACACACCGGAAAAUAUAUGGUUGGCUUUUGAGGUAGUCUGAAAUGGACCAAGUAAUGUAGAAGAAAUAAGGUCAUGUGAGAUGGAUGCAGAAAAUCAACAUAUUUCAAGAACUUAUGCUGCAAAUGAUAAAAGCGUGAUACAAGAGAUGAAACGAGCUUGCAAGUAAAAUUAACAAAGAGAGAAAGCAUAGGAGAAAUAAAUUGCACACAUUUUCAUUGAUUACUUUCAAGGAGAAUGAACUCGGUAUCUAGUGAAAAUUUCAUGGAAAGAAGCCAAAGCAUAUCCGAAAAGGAAUGCAGAAAAUGACACAGAAGACAAAUGAGAUAUAACUCAAGAAAAGAAAGCGGAACAGAGAUGCAAGAAGUUAGAGAUUAAGUUCGGGGCACUAAUAAAGCAGUCGUACUGUGAACCAUUGUCACUCGUCAGGCUUCGCAAUAUAAUUGACCUGAAGGAGCUCCAGGGGUCUCUACUUCCACUGUUGUGUAGUUCUGCGGAUAACUUGAAUACCAGAAUGUCCUUUCCAUCCCUCGUUCAAUCUGAUAUAUCGGCCACUCAUACAAUUGAGAAAUAUAUCAUGUCUUGUUGGAAAUUGCUUUAAGUUACUGCACUAGUUUUAGCAAAAUAAAUUAUUUAGAUUAGGAUGAAUUUGAAUUUUGAAUUUAAGUUAGGUUGUUUGAUUUGUUGAGAUUUUUUAGUUAGUUUGAAUUUUGAAUAUUGCUGAUUUUUCUAUUGUAAGGUGGUUAUUUAAAGCUCCUCAGUGCUUAAUAAAAUCAUUGAAAGCUAUUGAAAGAUUUCAAUCGAGUGAGAGUCAUUUUAACUCCUUUUCGC
RNAcentral lists this long non-coding RNA (1640 nucleotides) under Capsicum annuum. RNAcentral describes it as "long non-coding RNA (CANN_LNC004090)". Lineage: Eukaryota; Viridiplantae; Streptophyta; Magnoliopsida; Solanales; Solanaceae. The record is from RNAcentral.